GGUUAAGUAAUUGCAUUAUCAGCCUCCUCCAGUCUCUGGGGAGAGGAUGCCAAUGUUAAGUAGCAGCAGACUUCCAUCUCCCCUUGUCUCUGAGUGAAGACUGCCUGUUUUCCCUGCCAGUGCGAGGACAGCAAGGUGGAUGCCCUGGGGGAAGCCCUGCAGACCACGGUCAGUCGCUGGAAAUGUAAGUUCUCGGCCCCGCUGCCCCUGGAGCUCUAUACGUCGUCCAACUUCAUCGGCCUCUUCGUAAAGGAAGACAGUGCGGAGGUCCUCAAGAAGUUUGCUGCUGACUUUGCUGCAGAGGCUGCAUCCAAAACCGAAGUGCAUGUGGAACCUCAUAAGAAGCAGCUACAUGUGACCCUGGCUUACCACUUCCAAGCCAGCCACCUACCCACCCUAGAGAAACUGGCCCAGAACAUUGACGUCAAGCUAGGGUGUGACUGGGUGGCUACCAUAUUUUCUCGGGAUAUCCGAUUUGCUAACCAUGAGACAUUACAGGUCAUCUACCCCUAUACCCCACAAAAUGACGAUGAGCUAGAGCUGGUCCCCGGGGACUUCAUCUUCAUGUCUCCAAUGGAGCAGACCAGCACCAGCGAGGGUUGGAUCUAUGGCACGUCCUUAACCACCGGCUGCUCUGGACUCCUGCCUGAGAAUUACAUUACCAAGGCUGAUGAAUGCAGCACCUGGAUAUUUCAUGG
RNAcentral lists this small RNA (698 nucleotides) under Pan troglodytes (chimpanzee). RNAcentral describes it as "retained intron". The record is from RNAcentral. Lineage: Eukaryota; Metazoa; Chordata; Mammalia; Primates; Hominidae.